GACGAACGCUGGCGGCGUGCCUAAUACAUGCAAGUCGAGCGGGUUUAUCCUUCGGGAUAAGCUAGCGGCGGACGGGUGAGUAACACGUAGGUAACCUGCCUAUCAGACUGGGAUAACUAUCGGAAACGAUAGCUAAGACCGGAUAAUUGGUUUUCUCGCAUGAGAGAACCUAUCAAACACGGAGCAAUCUGUGGCUGACAGAUGGGCCUGCGGCGCAUUAGCUAGUUGGUGAGGUAACGGCUCACCAAGGCGACGAUGCGUAGCCGACCUGAGAGGGUGAACGGCCACACUGGGACUGAGACCACGGCCCAGACUCCUACGGGAGGCUG
Molecule: ribosomal RNA, 329 nt
Filed under: uncultured Bacillota bacterium
Lineage: Bacteria; Bacillati; Bacillota
Description: bacterial SSU rRNA
Rfam family: Bacterial small subunit ribosomal RNA
Source: RNAcentral